ACGGCAGAGGUACAGCAGCAGAAGAAACAGACCUUCCGCAACUUCACCCAGCGCGGCGUGGACCUGGACCAGCUACUGGACAUGUCCUCGGAGCAGCGGAUGCAGCUGAACAGCGCGCGCCGGCGGCGGCUGAACCCGGGCCUGUGGCGGAAGCAGCGCUCGCUGCUCAAGCGCCUGCGCAAGGCCAAGAAGGGGGCGCCGCCCACGGAGAAGCCGGAAGUGGUGAAGACGCACCCGCGGGACGUGCUUCUCCUGCCCGCGAUGGUGGGUAGCACGGUGGGCGUCUACGACGGCAAGACCUUCAAGCAGGUGGAGAUG
RNAcentral lists this long non-coding RNA (318 nucleotides) under Homo sapiens (human). Its description in RNAcentral is "non-protein coding lnc-CBARP-5:1". The record is from RNAcentral. Lineage: Eukaryota; Metazoa; Chordata; Mammalia; Primates; Hominidae.